RNAcentral lists this long non-coding RNA (539 nucleotides) under Rosa chinensis. RNAcentral's name for it is "sRNA RchiOBHm_Chr7g0226711". Lineage: Eukaryota; Viridiplantae; Streptophyta; Magnoliopsida; Rosales; Rosaceae. The record is from RNAcentral.
CUUGUGUACUAUAGGUUGAAUUACUUGCACUAGGCUAUGUUUAGGAUGAAGGAUGUCUAGUUUCAACAUCUUUGUUUCUUUUGUCCGGAGAACUGAAGGAAUGUUGGUUUAAUUCACCGCAGCAAUUUGAGAUAUGGCUCAUUAAUUUUGGUGCUGAUUAAUGGAAUGUGCUUUAGUUUGAGCUGCAUCUGUCCUUGUUUUUGAAAUGAUUUGAUGUCUUAGUAUGCAAUUUGAGCUAUGUUUUUCAAAUCAGGUUGGUUUAUGAAUUAUUUCCAUUUAUUUUCAUGAAGAUGAGUACUCUCACAUUUAGGUUCCAAAUCUUCUUUAUUGCAUAAAACUUCCUAGAAGUAGGGAUGCAAAAUUCCUCACCGAACAGAUGACGAUAUCAGCUAUUCUCCUCCCUGUCGAAUUGUGCGUAUGGAAGUAGCUCUAUAAAUGAUAUUGAAGUUUGACAUUGGUUCCCUGGUGGUUUCUGAACUUAUGCUCGUCCUUUAGUGAGGAUUGGAUGAUCUGUUUGAAAAAGUGAAACUAUCCUCUUU